GUGUCAGCCGCCGCGGUAAUACAGAGGGUGCGAGCGUUAAUCGGAAUUACUGGGCGUAAAGCGCGCGUAGGCGGUUUGUUAAGUCGGAUGUGAAAUCCCCGGGCUCAACCUGGGAAUUGCAUUCGAUACUGGCAAGCUAGAGUAUGGGAGAGGAAGGUAGAAUUCCAGGUGUAGCGGUGAAAUGCGUAGAGAUCUGGAGGAAUACCGAUGGCGAAGGCAGCCUUCUGGCCUAAUACUGACGCUGAGGUGCGAAAGCAUGGGGAGCAAACAGGAUUAGAAACCCUAGUAGUCC
RNAcentral lists this ribosomal RNA (292 nucleotides) under uncultured Alkanindiges sp. Its description in RNAcentral is "partial 16S ribosomal RNA". It matches the Rfam family "Bacterial small subunit ribosomal RNA", at positions 505 to 796 of the family's 1533-position model. Lineage: Bacteria; Pseudomonadati; Pseudomonadota; Gammaproteobacteria; Moraxellales; Moraxellaceae. The record is from RNAcentral.